Molecule: ribosomal RNA, 253 nt
Filed under: uncultured bacterium
Lineage: Bacteria
Description: partial 16S ribosomal RNA
Rfam family: Bacterial small subunit ribosomal RNA
Source: RNAcentral
UACGGAGGGUGCAAGCGUUAUCCGGAUUCACUGGGUUUAAAGGGUGCGUAGGAGGGCAGGUAAGUCAGUGGUGAAAUCUCCGAGCUUAACUUGGAAACUGCCGUUGAUACUAUCUGUCUUGAAUAUUGUGGAGGUGAGCGGAAUAUGUCAUGUAGCGGUGAAAUGCUUAGAUAUGACAUAGAACACCAAUUGCGAAGGCAGCUUACUACAUAGUUAUUGACACUGAGGCACGAAAGCGUGGGGAUCAAACAGG